RNAcentral lists this ribosomal RNA (498 nucleotides) under uncultured bacterium. Its description in RNAcentral is "partial 16S ribosomal RNA". It matches the Rfam family "Bacterial small subunit ribosomal RNA", at positions 29 to 523 of the family's 1533-position model. The record is from RNAcentral.
AUUGAACGCUGGCGGCAUGCCUUACACAUGCAAGUCGAACGGUAACGCGGGGCAACCUGGCGACGAGUGGCGAACGGGUGAGUAAAGCAUCGGAACGUGCCCAGUAGUGGGGGAUAGCCCGGCGAAAGCCGGAUUAAUACCGCAUACGACCUAAGGGUGAAAGGGGGGGAUCGCAAGACCUCUCGCUAUUGGAGCGGCCGAUGUCAGAUUAGCCAGUUGGUGGGGUAAAAGCUCACCAAGGCGACGAUCUGUAGCUGGUCUGAGAGGACGACCAGCCACACUGCGACGGAGACGCGGCACAGACUCCUACGGGAGGCAGCAGUGGAGAAUUUUGGACAAUGGACGAAAGUCUGAUCCAGCCAUGCCGCGUGCGGGAAGAAGGCCUUCGGGUUGUAAACCGCUUUUGUCAGGGAAGAAAUCCUUUGAGCUAAUACCUCGGGGGGAUGACGGUACCUGAAGAAUAAGCACCGGCUAACUACGUGCCAGCAGCCGCCGUAA